CGUAGGUGGCAAGCGUUGUCCGGAUUUAUUGGGCGUAAAGCGCUCGCAGGUGGUUCGUUGCGUCGUGCGUGAAAGACCCCGGCUCAACUGGGGAGCGUCGUGCGAUACGGGCGGACUGGAGGCCAGUAGGGGGAUGCGGAAUUCCGGGUGUAGUGGUGGAAUGCGUAGAGAUCCGGAGGAACACCAGCGGCGAAGGCGGCAUCCUGGACUGGUCCUGACACUCAUGAGCCGAAAGCGUGGGGGAGCGAUCCGGAUUAGAUACCCGGGUAGUCCACGCUGUAAACGAUGCGCACUAGGUGUCGGGGGUAUCGACCCCCUCGGUGCCGCAGCUAACGCGAUAAGUGCGCCGCCUGGGGACUACGGCCGCAAGGCUA
This 374-nucleotide ribosomal RNA is filed under the name uncultured organism. RNAcentral describes it as "bacterial SSU rRNA". It matches the Rfam family "Bacterial small subunit ribosomal RNA", at positions 526 to 896 of the family's 1533-position model. The record is from RNAcentral.